RNAcentral lists this ribosomal RNA (487 nucleotides) under uncultured bacterium. RNAcentral's name for it is "partial 16S ribosomal RNA". It matches the Rfam family "Bacterial small subunit ribosomal RNA", at positions 30 to 523 of the family's 1533-position model. The record is from RNAcentral.
AUUGAACGCUGGCGGCAGGCCUAACACAUGCAAGUCGAGCGCGAAAGUUUUCGGAUGAGUAGAGCGGCGAACGGGUGAGUAACGCGUGGGAAUUUGCCUAGUAGUGGGGGACAACCAGUGGAAACGCUGGCUAAUACCGCAUACGCCCUACGGGGGAAAGGGGGCUUCGGCUCUCGCUAUUGGAGAAGCCCGCGUUGGAUUAGCUAGUUGGUAGGGUAAAGGCCUACCAAGGCUACGAUCCAUAGCUGUCUGAGAGGAUGAUCAGCCACACUGGGACUGAGACACGGCCCAGACUCCUACGGGAGGCAGCAGUGGGGAAUAUUGCACAAUGGGGGAAACCCUGAUGCAGCCAUGCCGCGUGUGUGAAGAAGGCCUUCGGGUUGUAAGCACUUUAAGCAAUGAGGAAGGCCGUAAGGUUAAUACCCUUACGGAUUGACGUUAGUUGCAGAAUAAGCACCGGCUAACUCCGUGCCAGCCGCCGCAGUAA